UUCAUCUUUGUUUGUAGGAUCUAUGGAAGAAGUUCACGACUCGGACUCGACGAGAAAGGUUUGUGCUUCAUCUUUUUUUUUGAUGGCAAAAUAACUUCUCUUUAUGAAACAAUCAGUACUUCAUAUAUCUAUUAUAACAGAGUAAGUCAACAAAAGCCCUUUUAUUUGAAUGAACAAGAAUCCGUUGUGUGCUGCUGAGCUAUGUGCCCCUUUUCCAAAUGUUAUAAAUGUUAUCUUAACUUAGUUGUCACAUAGAAGUUGGUUUGGGCUACUGGGCUCAUUUGAUGUUUGCAUGACUUAUUUGAACCCGAUGCCAGCCUCACCGGCAUCCUGAGGCGACAGAGCGACGGCCGCGCUCGACACCCUCUUUCGCAACUCGACGACAGCCUAGCGUCAUAGGCGGCUCAUACGGUGGUCUAGAAGAUGGCGACCCAUUUGGGUGGGCGACAACGACCGCAGCUGGUGCACGCGCUCACACUCAACCCGUCCAUACUCAACUCUUCCUCUCGGUAUGAGCCCCUUGCAUCCUGUUUGAAGUUUUCUCUUUUCCCCCUUCUCCGUUUGUUUGACCUGGUUCUGCUCGGGUGGAUGCAGGGUGCGGACUGAGAAUUGGAUGCUCUGUGCCAGCAUAUGGAAGUGUUGUGACCACUGUUGUUCCGGAUGUGAGGUAUAAUGCUAAUUGGACUUGUGAAUUUAUCGUGUCUUGGAAUGGAUUGCCGAAAUGUUGGGGUUUUCUCAGUAUGUAGUUUCUUUUACUUAUAUUUUAUUCUUAUAAUUCAGUGGUCCUUGAUUGCAACCUGGUGUCAUCCUGUUCCUACUCACAGGUUACAGUAGUGCACGAGCUGACAAGGAAGAAAUCUUGGUUUCAAAGUUCUCUCUGUACGUGGCUAGCUGAGUCGGGUCUACUUAACUUUGCUAUCUGAAAGAUAUAGCUAUUUUAUUUUCCCAUUCAAUUAGGCAAUCUUUUGAGGAGGUUAAAAUGAGUUAUAUUUUGGGCAGGCUUGAUGGCUAUUUGUAUGUUGGGCCAUGUUAGUGGUGUUCUUUAUUUGUUCAUGGGUCAGAUUGUUUGUUUGGUCUUAUGGUUUAGACGUUUGUCCUGACAGUUUUGGUAUGUUUAUAUAGUACUUUUGGAAUGCGAUAUGAUUCUUUUUGGGUUUUUUAGUUCACGCAUUCAUUCUAAGAAUCUUGAUAUCCGGCUGUGUUGUUGUAGAUUUGUAAGUUUUUUGCUUGGGAGCCAUCUAUUUAGCCAUGUUGGAGUAGGCUAUAUGAUUUUUUCAGUUUUGACCACGUAUGCUUCUUCCUUGGUCUGUUCACCAAGGUUUGCUCCCUUCCUUUCUCACUUUCAUGCAUUAGCUUUGUUUCAUUAUACUCUUAUGAUGCUCUGCGUCUGUGAUGAUCCACCACCAACUGAGGUAUAUAAAUAAGCUGUGUUUCCUACAUUUGUGCUGAUCCACACAACUUGCUGAUCUCCAACUUAUUUCUUUUCUGACCAUCUGCAUUUGUGCAUGUAGUCAUGGACACCGACUCAAAAAAUGAACAAGGUUACCCCUUCAGCUGCAGGUGCAGGGUACUAUGUCUGGACUUGCCUUUUUUAUUUCAAUUCGUCUUGCUUUUUUGUACUAAAUCUUUGAUUCAUGCUUUUUCUCUCUUCAAUAGUAAAUCAUCUUGCAAUACCCAUGGUGCCACACGUGUUUUAUUCACCAAUCCUGUCAAGAGAAAUCAAAAUCAAGACGCCAAUCAGCUUAGCCUUGGGCUGCUCCUUUUCUGCCUUUUGUUUCCUGUAUACACUCAUCUUUCUUUGAUGGACCUGAAUUUCUUUUUGUUGUGUUAGGUUGACGGUGACACUGCAGAUGUAGCUUCUCUGACCGCUACCGAAGACACCGCUGAACAGCUUAAUCAGACAAAGACAAAGUGCUGUUAUGUAGGCAUGGUUUAAAAACUAGAGCCUUUGGCUGGUCAAGUACCCUUGCCAAAGCGUUCGUGUAAUCUCUUCAAGUUGUAUGAAGCAAAUUCUAUGUAUGUAACACCCAGGAAGAAUAUUAUAAUAAUUAUAUAGAAGCAGAGAAUCAACCUUGCUAGAGCGUUUGUCAAAUAUCUACUCGAGUAGCCUUGCCAAACUUUAUCUGCUGUGUUCUUCACAUGUUGUUUCAGUACAUUCUCUAGCGUAAAAUUUCCUUUUCAGUCAAGCAAAGUUUUCUUUGCG
Molecule: long non-coding RNA, 2203 nt
Filed under: Triticum aestivum (bread wheat)
Lineage: Eukaryota; Viridiplantae; Streptophyta; Magnoliopsida; Poales; Poaceae
Description: long non-coding RNA (TAES_LNC016188)
Source: RNAcentral